Molecule: ribosomal RNA, 375 nt
Filed under: Klebsiella pneumoniae
Lineage: Bacteria; Pseudomonadati; Pseudomonadota; Gammaproteobacteria; Enterobacterales; Enterobacteriaceae
Description: partial 23S ribosomal RNA
Rfam family: Eukaryotic large subunit ribosomal RNA
Source: RNAcentral
AUUUAAGCAUAUUAGUCAGCGGAGGAGAAGAAACUAACCAGGAUUCCCUCAGUAACGGCGAGUGAACAGGGAAGAGCCCAGCGCCGAAUCCCCGCCCCGCGGCGGGGCGCGGGACAUGUGGCGUACGGAAGACCCGCUCCCCGGCGCCGCUCGUGGGGGGCCCAAGUCCUUCUGAUCGAGGCCCAGCCCGUGGACGGUGUGAGGCCGGUAGCGGCCCCCGGCGCGCCGGGCCCGGGUCUUCCCGGAGUCGGGUUGCUUGGGAAUGCAGCCCAAAGCGGGUGGUAAACUCCAUCUAAGGCUAAAUACCGGCACGAGACCGAUAGUCAACAAGUACCGUAAGGGAAAGUUGAAAAGAACUUUGAAGAGAGAGUUCAA